RNAcentral lists this ribosomal RNA (1242 nucleotides) under metagenome. Its description in RNAcentral is "bacterial LSU rRNA". It matches the Rfam family "Bacterial large subunit ribosomal RNA", at positions 1564 to 2815 of the family's 2925-position model. The record is from RNAcentral.
UGAAUACGAGAUGCUACGGCAUUGAAUCAGUGUAUGUCAGGCUUCCAAGAAAAGCUCGCAAUGUCAUAAACAAUAAAUGCCUGUACCAUAACCGACACAGGUGGGUAGGUAGAGUAUACUAAGGGGCGCGAGAUAACUCUCUCUAAGGAACUCGGCAAAAUGACUCCGUAACUUCGGGAGAAGGAGUGCCUUAUUUUAUAAGGUUGCAAUAACAAGAUCCAAGCAACUGUUUACCAAAAACACAGGUCUCCGCUAAGUCGAAAGACGAUGUAUGGGGGCUGACGCCUGCCCAGUGCCAGAAGGUUAAAGAAGUUGGUUAGCUUCGGCGAAGCUGAUGACUGAAGCCCUGGUGAACGGCGGCCGUAACAAUAACGGUCCUAAGGUAGCGAAAUUCCUUGUCGGGUAAGUUCCGACCCGCACGAAAGGCGUAAUGAUUUGGAUACUGUCUCGGAGAGGGGCUCGGUGAAAUAGACUUGUCUGUGAAGAUGCGGACUACCUGCACCUGGACAGAAAGACCCUAUGAAGCUUUACUGUAACUUGAGAUUGAAAUUGGACUUUAUUUGCGCAGUAUAGGUGGGAGACGUUGAGAAUAUUCUUGCGGGAAUAUUGGAGUCAUCAGUGAGAUACCACUCUUGUAAUGUUAGAUUUCUAACUUUGUAUCAUUAUCUGGUCAAAGGACAGUUUCAGGCGGGCAGUUUGACUGGGGCGGUCGCCUCCUAAACGGUAACGGAGGCGCACAAAGGUUUCCUCUGAACGUGUAGAAAUCGUAUCUAGAGUGUAAAGGCAUAAGGAAGCUUGACUGUGAGACCUACAAGUCGAGCAGGGACGAAAGUCGGUCUUAGUGAUCUGACGGUGCUGAGUGGAAAGGCCGUCACUCAACGGAUAAAAGUUACUCUAGGAUAACAGGCUGAUCUCCCCCAAGAGUUCACAUCGACGGGGAGGUUUGGCACCUCGAUGUCGGCUCAUCGCAUCCUGGGGCGGUAGUACGUCCCAAGGGUUGGGCUGUUCGCCCAUGAAAGCGGUACGCGAGCUGGGUUCAGAACGUCGUGAGACAGUUCGGUCCAUAUCCGGUGUAGGCGUUAGAAUAUUGAGAGGAGCCUUCUUUAGUACGAGAGGACCGAGAAGGACAUACCUCUGGUGUACCAGUUAUCGUGCCAACGGUAAACGCUGGGUAGCUAUGUAUGGAGUGGAUAACCGCUGAAAGCAUCUAAGUGGGAAGCCCACCUCAAGAUAAGUAUUCUC